This 75-nucleotide transfer RNA is filed under the name Nitratireductor indicus. RNAcentral's name for it is "tRNA-Gln". It matches the Rfam family "tRNA". Rfam says of the family: Transfer RNA (tRNA) molecules are approximately 80 nucleotides in length. Their secondary structure includes four short double-helical elements and three loops (D, anti-codon, and T loops). Lineage: Bacteria; Pseudomonadati; Pseudomonadota; Alphaproteobacteria; Hyphomicrobiales; Phyllobacteriaceae. The record is from RNAcentral. RNAcentral also lists the same sequence under 5 other names.
UGGGGCGUAGCCAAGUGGUAAGGCAGCGGUUUUUGGUACCGCCAUUCGCAGGUUCGAAUCCUGCCGCCCCAGCCA